GCAUCGAUGGUUCAGUGGUAAAAUGCUCGCAUGCCGGGUUCGAUUCCCGGCCGAUGCA
Molecule: transfer RNA, 58 nt
Filed under: Cordylochernes scorpioides
Lineage: Eukaryota; Metazoa; Arthropoda; Arachnida; Pseudoscorpiones; Chernetidae
Description: tRNA-Ser
Rfam family: tRNA
About the family: Transfer RNA (tRNA) molecules are approximately 80 nucleotides in length. Their secondary structure includes four short double-helical elements and three loops (D, anti-codon, and T loops).
Source: RNAcentral